This 822-nucleotide long non-coding RNA is filed under the name Durio zibethinus. RNAcentral describes it as "long non-coding RNA (DZIB_LNC001542)". Lineage: Eukaryota; Viridiplantae; Streptophyta; Magnoliopsida; Malvales; Malvaceae. The record is from RNAcentral.
AAGGGCAUGCCCACUCGAAAAACUCCGAGGGUAUUAUCUCUAUAAGAAGGAAAAUAAUUAGCCAUUUGCAUCACGUUCUUUGAAGUCUUGUCUCAAGUAGCAGAGUCUCCCACCCCUUUCAAUGGCUUUAAUCAAUAUCGUUCUAGCUUCGAGGCGUCGUCGUCGAAGGGGUAAUGGAUCUUCCUUCUCAGUUGCCAGGCCGAUAAGGUCAUCGCCCAUCACCAUCAUCAUCAUCGUCACAACACUCAAUUUUUUCCGAUGAAUGGCCCGCUGAUUGUCAAAUAAUAAUCAUGGUAGCAGUUGCUGCAUAUUCUUACUUGCUAUACCUUUCAAUCUUUGGGUAAAUCUUGUUCAAGCGAAACUAAGGUAAAAGCUGAAAAUCUCCAAAUUCUGUAAGGAUUUUCCCCUUUCUUUUGGGCUUGAAAUAGGAUCAUUAAUGUUCAUUGGCUACUAUGUAACAAGCAGCUGCCUUUGUAUAGUUUUUAUUUUUUAACUUUGUUUAAUUUUUUUUCUUCCUUUAAAUUAGUUUCCUUUAUAGCUAUAUACCUAAUACUACUAUUCUUUAAUAAAGAAAAUCACGAAACCUAGCCACUAAUAUCAAAAGUUAAAGUCAUUUUGCUUGAAGUUUCAAGGAAACUCAUGCUUACUGGAUUUUGUUUUUUUGAUUUGGGAGAAUAAAAUUCAGAUUCAAUUUUUUUAGUCAGUAAUUAAUAUAUGCGAUACCCUUAACUAAAUCUUGGGAGUGGCUACUGUCUCAUGAUUAUAAGAAGCAUUAAUUACCUCAAUUUUGAACUCCUUGGCUUGCUAAACUGUCACAUAUUU